UUUGUUUCUCACGUCUGAAAAACCCACCCCCCGCUGCCCGACCUCUCCAUCUCCCUCCACUCCGACCGACGAGCCCAGCCGCUGACGACUCUCCACCGCGCCGCCGCCGCCGCUGUCCCUCUUUCUGUGGCGUACUACUGGAAGGGAAGGUCGAAGCACGGUAAACUUGCAAAAAUUGAAUCGCCCACCCGAAGCUCCAUUGCCAAGAAGUUGAAACUGACCUUGAUGGUGGAGAUACAAGAUGUCCUGAUAUUUUCCCAUCCAAACUAGCUGAGUUGUUGGAAAGUGUCGCGAUGACUGGUUGACGUAGGAGAAGUUCAAGCGGACAUGACUACGGCCAAGAAAUAGUAAAGAGAAGGUGAAGUUACUGCAGCAAGCAAAGAAGCUGUUCAGAUUAAAAAAAAUCAAAGAGGCUGUUACUGUUCCAAUGGUGUUCGUGAAUUCAAUUUUGCUCAUCAACUCUUCAAAAAUGAAUUAUCUCAAUCCAUCUGGUUGUAAUGUACUCUUGGAUGUAACAGAUUCGAGAUCAACAGAAAAUGAAUUAUCUCAAUUGUAUCUAUGUUAGAGCUAUGUAAUGGAAGUUUAUUGGAAGUUUUUUCUCUUUUCUGAAGCCAUGUAUCAAUAGUAUGGUUUCUUCUCUUUUUUUGUGGACUGUAAGGUGAUGCUAGCAUUAGUAAUGUCAUGCUACCAUUAGUAAUGAAUGGGUGAAAUAUAUAGAUGCCCCUUUUGAA
Rhododendron vialii is the source of this 731-nucleotide long non-coding RNA. RefSeq lists it as uncharacterized. The transcript has 2 exons. The record is from RefSeq and is a predicted model, not a curated record. NCBI's taxonomy places the organism in Eukaryota, Viridiplantae, Streptophyta, Magnoliopsida, Ericales, Ericaceae.